CGAUGUGAGGGCGGGCAGUCUGGCUGCUACAUCUGUUACCCCACUGAUCACCUGGGUGGAUUCAGCUGAUCUGGCUGGCUAGGCGGGUGUCCCCUUCCUCCCUCACCGCUCCACGUGCAUCCCUCCCGAAGCUGCGCGCUCCUUCGAAGAGGACGACCAUCCCCAAUAGAGGAGGACCGUUCUUCUCGGUCAAGGGUGUAUGAGCAGCUGCGCUCCCCUGCUGGACCCUCCAAACAAGCUCUCAGAUUAAAUUACUUUCGCCAAAUCUAAAAAUCCCCUCAAAGCCAAUCUGUCAGUAGCAGGCCUGGUGCUGAUAUGUUU
RNAcentral lists this small nuclear RNA (321 nucleotides) under Camelus ferus (Wild Bactrian camel). RNAcentral describes it as "7SK RNA". It matches the Rfam family "7SK RNA". Rfam says of the family: 7SK was discovered as an abundant small nuclear RNA in the mid-70s but a possible function has only recently been suggested. Two independent studies have found that 7SK RNA binds the CDK9/cyclin T complex (known as elongation factor P-TEFb). Lineage: Eukaryota; Metazoa; Chordata; Mammalia; Artiodactyla; Camelidae. The record is from Rfam by way of RNAcentral.